UGCCCAGAUGAUGAGAACCGUGGAUAGGAAGUGCCGUCAGAUGCGAGAACUGACGAUGCCUUUCACGGGGUCUGACU
Molecule: small nucleolar RNA, 77 nt
Organism: Tachyglossus aculeatus (Australian echidna)
Lineage: Eukaryota; Metazoa; Chordata; Mammalia; Monotremata; Tachyglossidae
Product: small nucleolar RNA SNORD49
Exons: 1
Source: RefSeq, a predicted model, not a curated record